RNAcentral lists this transfer RNA (85 nucleotides) under Candidatus Aerophobetes bacterium Ae_b3b. RNAcentral describes it as "tRNA-Tyr". It matches the Rfam family "tRNA". From Rfam's summary of the family: Transfer RNA (tRNA) molecules are approximately 80 nucleotides in length. Their secondary structure includes four short double-helical elements and three loops (D, anti-codon, and T loops). RNAcentral also lists the same sequence under 1 other name. The record is from RNAcentral. Lineage: Bacteria; Candidatus Aerophobota.
GGGGAGGUGCCAGAGUGGCCAAAUGGGGCGGGCUGUAAACCCGUUGGCGUUGCCUACGAUGGUUCAAAUCCAUCCCUCCCCACUA